This 330-nucleotide ribosomal RNA is filed under the name uncultured Butyrivibrio sp. RNAcentral's name for it is "partial 16S ribosomal RNA". The record is from RNAcentral. Lineage: Bacteria; Bacillati; Bacillota; Clostridia; Lachnospirales; Lachnospiraceae.
GGAGUCUGGGCCGUGUCUCAGUCCCAAUGUGGCCGUCCGGCCUCUCAGCCCGGCUACUGAUCGUCGCUUUGGUGGGCCGUUACCCCGCCAACUGGCUAAUCAGACGCGGGCCCAUCCCGUACCACCGGAGUUUUUCACACUGUCUGAUGCCAGACCGUGCGCUUAUGCGGUAUUAUCAGUCGUUUCCAACUGCUAUCCCCCGGUACGGGGCAGGUUGCCCACGCGUUACUCACCCGUCCGCCACUCAGUCAACAAGUCGUCACCCCGAAGGGAUCGUAACAAGUUGCUUCGUUCGACUUGCAUGUGUUAAGCACGCCGCCAGCGUUCAUC